UGAACGCUGGCGGCGUGCCUACUACAUGCACGUCGAGCGAACAGAUGCGGAGCUUGCUCCUCUGACGUUAGCGGCGGACGGGUGAGUAACACGUGGAUAACCUACCUAUAAGACUGGGAUAACUUCGGGAAACCGGAGCUAAUACCGGAUAAUAUAUUGAACCGCAUGGUUCAAUAGUGAAAGACGGUUUUGCUGUCACUUAUAGAUGGAUCCGCGCCGCAUUAGCUAGUUGGUAAGGUAACGGCUUACCAAGGCAACGAUGCGGAGCCGACCUGAGAGGGUGAUCGGCCACACUGGAACUGAGACACGGUCCAGACUCCUACGGGAGGCAGCAGUAGGGAAUCUUCCGCAAUGGGCGAAAGCCUGACGGAGCAACGCCGCGUGAGUGAUGAAGGUCUUCGGAUCGUAAAACUCUGUUAUUAGGGAAGAACAAAUGUGUAAGUAACUAUGCACGUCUUGACGGUACCUAAUCAGAAAGCCACGGCUAACUACGUG
RNAcentral lists this ribosomal RNA (495 nucleotides) under uncultured bacterium. RNAcentral's name for it is "partial 16S ribosomal RNA". It matches the Rfam family "Bacterial small subunit ribosomal RNA", at positions 30 to 507 of the family's 1533-position model. The record is from RNAcentral.